AUUGAACGCUGGCGGCAUGCUUUACACAUGCAAGUCGAACGGUAACAGGCCGCAAGGUGCUGACGAGUGGCGGACGGGUGAGUAAUGCAUCGGAACGUGCCCAGUCGUGGGGGAUAACUACUCGAAAGAGUAGCUAAUACCGCAUACGAUCUAUGGUUGAAAGCGGGGGACCGUAAGGCCUCGCGCGAUUGGAGCGGCCGAUGUCAGAUUAGGUAGUUGGUGGGGUAAAGGCUCACCAAGCCAACGAUCUGUAGCUGGUCUGAGAGGACGACCAGCCACACUGGGACUGAGACACGGCCCAGACUCCUACGGGAGGCAGCAGUAGGGAAUUUUGGGCAAUGGGCGCAAGCCUGAUCCAGCAAUGCCGCGUGCAGGAAGAAGGCCUUCGGGUUGUAAACUGCUUUUGUACGGAACGAAACGGCUCUGGUUAAUACCCGAGGCUAAUGACGGUACCGUAAGAAUAAGCACCGGCUAACUACGUG
RNAcentral lists this ribosomal RNA (482 nucleotides) under uncultured bacterium. RNAcentral describes it as "partial 16S ribosomal RNA". It matches the Rfam family "Bacterial small subunit ribosomal RNA", at positions 30 to 507 of the family's 1533-position model. The record is from RNAcentral.